AGUGAACGCUGGCGGUAGGCCUAACACAUGCAAGUCGAACGGCAGCACAGUAAGAGCUCGCUCUUACGGGUGGCGAGUGGCGGACGGGUGAGGCAUACAUCGGAAUCUACUUUUUCGUGGGUGAUAACGGAGGGAAACUUACGCUAAUACCGCAUAUGUCCUACGGGUGAAAGCAGUGGAUCUUCGGACCUUUCGCGAUUGUAUGAGCCGAUUCCGGAGUAGCUAGUUGGCGAGGUAAAGGCCCACCAAGGCGACGAUCCGUAGCGUGUCUGAGAGGAUGAUCGGCCACACUGGAACUGAGACACGGUCCAGACUCCUACGGGAGGCAGCAGUGGGGAAUAUUGGGCAAUGGGCGAAAGCCUGAUCCAGCAAUACCGCGUGGGUGAAGAAGGCCUUCGGGUUGUAAAGCCCUUUUAUUGGGAAAGAAAAGAAGCAGGUUAAUACCCCGCUGUUCUGACGGUACCCAAAGAAUAAGCACCGGCUAACUUCGUG
Molecule: ribosomal RNA, 492 nt
Filed under: uncultured bacterium
Lineage: Bacteria
Description: partial 16S ribosomal RNA
Rfam family: Bacterial small subunit ribosomal RNA
Source: RNAcentral